UCACAGCCAAUAUUGAUGAA
Molecule: microRNA, 20 nt
Filed under: Echinococcus granulosus
Lineage: Eukaryota; Metazoa; Platyhelminthes; Cestoda; Cyclophyllidea; Taeniidae
Also listed under: 1 other name
Description: egr-miR-2c-3p
Gene: egr-miR-2c-3p
Source: miRBase by way of RNAcentral